AUUGAACGCUGGCGGCAGGCCUAACACAUGCAAGUCGAACGGUAACAGGAAGAAGCUUGCUUCUUUGCUGACGAGUGGCGGACGGGUGAGUAAUGUCUGUGAAACUGCCUGAUGGAGGGGGAUAACUACUGGAAACGGUAGCUAAUACCGCAUAACGUCGCAAGACCAAAGAGGGGGACCUUCUGGCCUCUUGCCAUCGGAUGUGCCCAGAUGGGAUUAGCCAGUAGGUGGGGUAACGGCUCACCUAGGCGACGAUCCCUAGCUGGUCUGAGAGGAUGACCAGCCACACUGGAACUGAGACACGGUCCAGACUCCUACGGGAGGCAGCAGUGGGGAAUAUUGCACAAUGGGCGCAAGCCUGAUGCAGCCAUGCCGCGUGUAUGAAGAAGGCCUUCGGGUUGUAAAGUACUUUCAGCGGGGAGGAAGGGAGUAAAGUUAAUACCUUUGCUCAUUGACGUUACCCGCAGAAGAAGCACCGGCUAACUCCGUG
This 490-nucleotide ribosomal RNA is filed under the name uncultured bacterium. Its description in RNAcentral is "partial 16S ribosomal RNA". It matches the Rfam family "Bacterial small subunit ribosomal RNA", at positions 30 to 507 of the family's 1533-position model. The record is from RNAcentral.